This is a small RNA of Coprococcus sp. CAG:782, 87 nucleotides long. It matches the Rfam family "GA-cis RNA". Lineage: Bacteria; Bacillati; Bacillota; Clostridia; Lachnospirales; Lachnospiraceae. The record is from Rfam.
GAGAGGUUGUGCUCAUGCAUCGAAGAUGCAUAUAGGAAUAGCACAACCGACCUGUCGCCGAACGUAUGUGAGGGGACAACACCAAUA